AUUGUAAUAUGAGUUUGAUCCUGGCUCAGGGUGAACGCUAGUAGUAUGCUUUACACAUGCGAGUUUAACGAAAUGAUUUUUUUUCGUAGCGAACGGGUGAGGAAAAUGCAGUAAUUUUGCCUUUUAAUUUAUGAUAAAACAUAUUCAAAAAAUUAUAAGUUUUUUUUGAAAAAUUUUUGUUAAUAAUAAAUAAAAAUAAAGAUUGUUUAAAAACAAUUGUUAAAAGAUAAAGCUGCGUAAGAUUAGGUAGUUGUUAAUUUAAAAGACUAACAAGCCUAUGAUCUUUAGUUGAUCUUAGAGGAUGAUCAACCACACUGGAACUGAGACAAGGUCCAGGCUGAAAUUUUCGGCCAGCAGUGAGGAAUAUUGGACAAUGAACGAAAGUUUGAUCCAGCAAUACUAUCUGAAUGAUGACGGCUAUUUAGUUGUAAAAUUCUUUCGUUAAAGAUGAUAAUGACAUUAUUUAAAGAAGUAAGUCCCGGCUAAUCUCGUGCCAGCAGCCGCGGUAAUACGGGAGGGGCGAGCGUUAUCCGUAAUGACUGGGCGUAAAGGGUUCGUAGACUGUGAAGUAAGUUAUUUGUCAAAUCUUAAAGCUUAACUUUAAAAAAACACUUAAUACUGCUUUACUUGAGUUUUUUACAGAAGAGUAGAAUUUUAUAUGUAGGGUUAAACUCCAUAAAUAUAUAAAGGAAUACCAUUAGCGAAGGCGUCUCUUUAGUAAAAACUGACGUUGAGGGACGAAAGUGUAGGUAGCAAACAGGAUUAGAUACCCUGGUAGUCUACACUGUAAAUUCUGAGUGCUGUAAUUUGAUUUAAUAAAAUUGGAUUUUAUAAGCUAACGCCAUAAGCACUCCGCCUGAGGAGUACGAUCGCAAGAUUGGAACUCAAAGGAAUUGACGGGGGCCUACAACGAGUGGUGGAGCAUGUGGUUUAAUGCGAUAAUCCGCGCAAAACCUUACCAAUCCUUGAAUAAAAUAAAUUUAUUUAAAUUUUAUACUUGUUUAUUUUAAAUUAUAAUUUUACAGGUGUUGCACGACUGUCGUCAGCUCGUGUCGUGAGAUGUUGGGUUAAUUCCUUUAACGGGCGUAACUCUUAUUUUUAAAAUAUUUUUCGUAAUUUAUUAUUAAUUUCGUUUUAAAAAAACCAACAAUAAUAAGUUGAAGGAAGUGAGAACUAAGCCAAGUCACUGUGGCCUUAAUGGAUUGGGCUACACACGUGCUACAAUGAAAAUUACAAAAAGUUACUAAAAAUUCAAAAUUGUAGUUAAUCUUUAAAAUUUUUCUUAGUUCAGAUUAUAGGCUGCAACUCGCUUAUAUGAAGGUGGAAUCACUAGUAAUCGCAAAUCAGAAUGUUGUGGUGAAUAUGUAGCUUGGCCUUGUACACACCGCCCGUCACAUGCAGAAAAUCAGUUUUGCUUGAAGAAUAAAAAACUAAACUUUUUUAGAGAAAAUCUGAAUCUUUUUAUUUUUUAAUCCAUUGAAAGAUUGACAAUUUGGAUGAAGUCGUAACAAGGUAGCUGUACGGGAACGUGUAGCUGGAA
This 1540-nucleotide ribosomal RNA is filed under the name Attheya longicornis. RNAcentral's name for it is "small subunit ribosomal RNA". It matches the Rfam family "Bacterial small subunit ribosomal RNA". The record is from RNAcentral. Lineage: Eukaryota; Bacillariophyta; Biddulphiophyceae; Attheyales; Attheyaceae.